RNAcentral lists this ribosomal RNA (937 nucleotides) under uncultured archaeon. RNAcentral describes it as "16S ribosomal RNA". It matches the Rfam family "Archaeal small subunit ribosomal RNA", at positions 8 to 921 of the family's 1478-position model. The record is from RNAcentral.
UUGAUCCUGCCGGAGACCACUGCUAUUGGGGUUCGAUUUAACCAUGCAAGUUAAACGGAAUCGGCUGAGGUUCUGUAGCAUACGGCUCAGUAACACGUAGACAACCUGCCCUAAGGAAGAGAAUAACUUCGGGAAACUGAAGCUAAUACUCUAUAAUUGAGGUGCGCUGGAACUUGCCAUCUCGGUGAAAGUUUAUGUUCUCAUGCUGGAUAUAGGCGCCUUAGGAUGGGUCUGCGGCCAAUUAGGCAGUUGGCGGUAUAACGGACCACCAAACCUAUGAUUGGUACGGGCUACGAAAGUAGAGGCCCGGAGAAGGACACUGAGACAAGGGUCCUAGCCCUACGGGGUGCAGCAGGUGCGAAAACUCCACAAUACACGAAAGUGUGAUGGGGGAACCCCAAGUGCCAUAGUUUCACUAUGGCUUUUGCCAAGCUUAAAUAAUUUGGCGAAUAAGGGGUGGGCAAGACUGGUGCCAGCAGCCGCGGUAACACCAGCGCCUCUAGUGGUGGUUGCGAUUAUUGGGCCUAAAGCAUCCGUAGCCGGUUGUACAAGUUCUUCGUGAAAUUGUUAUGCCCAACAUAACGGCGUGCGAAGAAUACUAUACAACUUGGGACCGGGUGGGGUUGAGGGUAUUCCUAGGGGAGCGGUAAAAUGCUAUAAUCCUAGGAGGACCACCUGCGGCGAAGGCGCUCAACUAGAACGGGUCCGACGGUGAGGGAUGAAAGCUGAGGGAGCGAACCGGAUUAGAUACCCGGGUAGUCUCAGCUGUAAACGCUGCCCGUUAGGUGUUGCAUGUUCUUCGUGAGCAUGCAGUGCCAAAGCGAAGGCAUUAAACGGGCCGCCUGGGGAGUACGGUCGCAAGGCUGAAACUUAAAGGAAUAGGCGGGGGAGCACAACAAGGGGUGAAUGCCUGCGGUUCAAUUGGAUUCAACGCCGG